UACGUAGGGGGCUAGCGUUGUCCGGAAUCAUUGGCGUAAAGAGCGUGUAGGCGGCUUGGUAGGUCCGCUGUGAAACUCGAGGCUCAACCUCGAGAUGUCGGCGGAAACCACUUGGCUAGAGUCCGGAAGAGGAGAGUGGAAUUCCUGGUGUAGCGGUGAAAUGCGCAGAUAUCAGGAAGAACACCUAUGGCGAAGGCAGCCUCUGUGGGACGGUACUGACGCUGAGAGCGAAAGCGUGGGGAGCGAACAGG
RNAcentral lists this ribosomal RNA (251 nucleotides) under uncultured bacterium. RNAcentral's name for it is "partial 16S ribosomal RNA". It matches the Rfam family "Bacterial small subunit ribosomal RNA", at positions 524 to 776 of the family's 1533-position model. The record is from RNAcentral.